RNAcentral lists this ribosomal RNA (253 nucleotides) under uncultured bacterium. RNAcentral describes it as "partial 16S ribosomal RNA". It matches the Rfam family "Bacterial small subunit ribosomal RNA", at positions 524 to 776 of the family's 1533-position model. The record is from RNAcentral.
UACAGAGGGUGCAAGCGUUAAUCGGAAUUACUGGGCGUAAAGCGUGCGUAGUCGGUUAUUUAAGUCGGGUGUGAAAGCCCCGGGCUCAACCUGGGAAUUGCAUUCGAUACUGGAUAGCUAGAGUUCGGCAGAGGGAAGCGGAAUUUCCGGUGUAGCGGUGAAAUGCGUAGAUAUCAAGUGGAACACCAGUGGCGAAGGCGAGUCCCUGGACAACUCCUGACACUGAGGCACGAAAGCUAGGGGAGCAAACAGG